RNAcentral lists this long non-coding RNA (250 nucleotides) under Nicotiana benthamiana. RNAcentral describes it as "long non-coding RNA (NBEN_LNC032096)". The record is from RNAcentral. Lineage: Eukaryota; Viridiplantae; Streptophyta; Magnoliopsida; Solanales; Solanaceae.
GAUUGUUCUUCAACGUUCAAAAAUCAAUUUAGGAUUCUGUGGGAACGGUCAAAAAAUACUCGAUUGUAUGAAAAUGACAAUCGAUUGUUUAUGAGUAUAAUCGAUUGUAUGAUAACAACAAUCAAUUGUUUUGAUGCUUAAAAACUUCGGUUGCACACUGUCUCAAAAAAAUCGAUUGUUAAAAGUAGACAAUCGAUUGUUUGCUAUUUUGAAAAACUUCAGAUCACACUGUCUUAAUACAAUCGAUUGU